RNAcentral lists this ribosomal RNA (253 nucleotides) under uncultured bacterium. RNAcentral describes it as "partial 16S ribosomal RNA". It matches the Rfam family "Bacterial small subunit ribosomal RNA", at positions 524 to 776 of the family's 1533-position model. The record is from RNAcentral.
UACGUAGGGGGCAAGCGUUGUCCGGAAUCAUUGGGCGUAAAGCGCGUGUAGGCGGUCCGGUAAGUCCGCUGUAAAAGUCGGGGGCUCAACCCUCGGAUGCCGGUGGAUACUGUCGGGCUUGAGUACGGAAGAGGCGAGUGGAAUUCCUGGUGUAGCGGUGAAAUGCGUAGAUAUCAGGAGGAACACCUGUGGCGAAAGCGGCUCACUGGACCAUAACUGACGCUGAUGCACGAAAGCUAGGGGAGCAAACAGG